UUAUAUUUUUGCCUGGCCACGAUCGACUGGACUAACAGUCGCGAUCGACCGGGUGUCAACAAAAACUGUAU
Molecule: long non-coding RNA, 71 nt
Organism: Aricia agestis (brown argus)
Lineage: Eukaryota; Metazoa; Arthropoda; Insecta; Lepidoptera; Lycaenidae
Exons: 3
Source: RefSeq, a predicted model, not a curated record